GCUUCCGUAGCUCAGCUGGAUAGAGCAACAGAUUUCUACUCUGUGGGUCGCUGGUUCGAAUCCAGCCGGGGGCGCCA
This 77-nucleotide transfer RNA is filed under the name Pseudomonadota bacterium. RNAcentral's name for it is "tRNA-Arg". It matches the Rfam family "tRNA". Rfam says of the family: Transfer RNA (tRNA) molecules are approximately 80 nucleotides in length. Their secondary structure includes four short double-helical elements and three loops (D, anti-codon, and T loops). RNAcentral also lists the same sequence under 1 other name. The record is from RNAcentral. Lineage: Bacteria; Pseudomonadati; Pseudomonadota.